GCACUUCCUCGCCCACUCGGGUUGUGUCCUCCCUGUCGACAAAUGAGACGGUCCGGCUGCCCCAGCCAGGACUGCGGGUCCUGCCUGGCGGCGUGGCCUGUGCCAGGAGGGAUGGACUCAGGUCCAGGUCAGUUGACCCCGUGCCGUCUGUGCUGGCAACGAUUGGGCUGCCGGGCAGGACGGGCGGCUCCCGCCCACUCUGAAAUCCCCUGCAGGUCGGAAAGCACCACCGGGACCUCUCCAGGAGAGUUCCCGAAGCUGCAGCCGUCCACUGAGAGGCCCGUCCGUGCAACAUGGCCGCCGUGGCUGACCUGCCUAUCGUCCAGGAGGGGAACAGGCCCUGCUGCUCCAUCCAGGACGGCACUGGCCCCCGAACUGACCUCACCAAGGGCCGUCAACGUCCAACCAACACUACCUGCCAAUGGACCCAGCACAUGGGGACUCUGUCACCUGUGCCCCUAGUGACAGGCCCCUUGAGAGUCCAGCAAGGCCACUGGUCUGUCCACUCCUCCCAAUCCCACCUAAGCAUCCCUUCCCCACCUCACGGGCAUCUUUUCUUGGUACAGACCCCAGAGUCCAAGGCGAGAGCUGGGGACCUUGUGUCCCUCCUGCAGGUGAUCAGGACGCGUGGGCAGAUGGUGGGACGACAGGGAUGGACAGCAUGGAGCGGGGACCCCACAUGGCAAACCUGUGUCCACACGCAGAGAAGCCGACGGAGACUGGGGAGGGGACCUCCUCCUCGCGCCCGCGGAGCUGCCCUGCCCUGCCCCGACCCCUGGCCAGCCCCUGCUCCCCGCUGCCACCUGUACCUGCCUGGGGGCAGCCGGGGUCACCUGCUGACUCCUGUUCACGGGUCGUCGUGUGACGUGGUUGAUUUCCUCAGCGUCCACUCCCGUGAAGUCCACGUGCAAGGGCCAGUUCUCUGGAAGCACAGCUGGACUCUAGGAACCAUUGUUGCCCAGAGUCGCUUUAAGCCAACGGGAACAGAGAGCUUCCGCGGGGACAAGGUGGACCGCGGCCGCACCAGCUGAGCACGGGGGCGCGCUGCUGCUGUCCCUGUGGGUGACUGACCCCUCCGGGGCCUCCUGGGUUUCCCGCCCCUCAUCCAGGACCACAGGGGACGUUGGCUUUGUCCUGGGUGUUUCUCGGCAUUUUCCCGAUUCUCUCCAACAGGCGCGAGUCUCUUCUAGAACCAGAAAGAGGAACGAGCGUGUUCUCGCGCAGGGUCAGGGCGGGGCUCUCGCCGCCGCGGUGCUCUCCACGUCUGGGGCUGAGCCCCCUCUGCCAGCGGGCCAGGGCCCGGGUCUGUGCAGCAGGUCACUUGGUCCCCACGCUGGCGCUGAGUGUUCCACAGACUUCCUUCUGAAGUCACAGCUUCCUUGACCAGGACAGCCAUUUCGAGGGCACAGUUCAGUGGCCUUGGUCAUUUCCAGGGUUGGGCAACCGUCCCCACUAACAGUUCAAACACCCCAAAAAGGAAACCCCAGGGCAUCGCCAGUGAGGCCACACCGCCCCCUCGGCCCCAGCAGUGCUGGCCCCUGUCUGCCUGGGGACUGGGGCGGCUGGGUGUGACGAGGGGACCCUGGAACCCCUGCCCUGCGAUUCCUUCACAGAGUACGGCCAGGGUCACCCGCACGGCGUGGACAGAAGGUCCCUCGGGGUUGAGCGGCUGGCUGGUCUCCUUCCUGUGGCCGAGGGACUUGGCCUGGGUCCUCUCUUUCACUGCCGUGACAUCCUGAACUUCCAGGCACAAGUGGCUGCUCUUGCUGGUCUUGGGCACAGCUGGAGUGGAGCUGGGGCCCCCGGUGACUCCAUGUUUCGCAUCCUGAGGUUUCCCCACGGCUGUCCACCGUGGUCAUGCCCGUGUACCUGGCCACCAGCAGUGAACCGGGGCUGGUUCUCUGGACCUCACCAACUUCCUGUCACCUUCUCACUUUCGCUCCUCAGUGGCUGUGGAGCGGCCCCUCCUUCUGCCUGGACUCUGCGAUUCCCUGAAGGUGCGGACGGUCGGGCACCUGUUCAUGAGUCAGUGGCCGCUCGUGUUUCCUGGGAGAAAGGCCCGUUCCCGCGCCUUGGCCACUGCUAAUGAAGUCGCCUCUUCACUGCUGACGUUCUAUACUCUGGAGGCGAGGCCUGGCCAGGUGCAGGGUGGCCGUCUUUCCUCCUGCCCUGUGGCCUCUCUCACUCUCGUGACAGUCUUCUCUGACCCACUCAGGUUUCUGAUUCUUACGAAGUCCAGUUUAUCUAUUUUUCUUUGGUUUAUCUAUUUUUCUGACACCACAGAUUCCAAGGUUCUGAAGAUUCGAACCUCUGCUUCCUCUAAGAGUCGUGUGGGUUUUCUCCUUCAUGGUAGGUCUUUGCUCUAUUUGGAAUUCGGAGUCCAUCUGCAUGAGGUAGGUAUUUUUUUAGUUGUCGACGGACUUUUAUUUGUGUGUGGGGCUGAGAACUGAACCCAGGGCCCCCCACAUGCGAGGAAGUUGCUCUACACUGAGCUCGACCUUUGCCCAUAGGUGCCUGGUGUCCAGCACCCACCCCCCCGAAGACUCUUCUGCAUUCAUGUCUCGACGCACUUCUCAAACACCGGCUGACCCCAGGCUGUCUGUGGCCGGUGUGCAGCAGCCGCGGGCCUUUGCCUAGGUCUCGCGUUCUCGAUCGCCGGACUCCCUUAUCAUCCUGCUGGUCCUGGAGUCGGUCCUCGUCGUUCUCGCCACGCUCACCUCCAACAGAGCUGGGCUGCCACUCCCUCCCCAAGCCACCGCCGAGUCUCUCUUACCGGCUGUCCUGGCUCCAUCCUCCAGGACAGCAUUAGACACCGGCACUUAGGGGGACUGAUGUUGGUGCGAAGCCAGCAGUGGGGUUAGUUUGGAGAUUUUUGUCGUCUGUCUGUCGUGUGCCCUUCUCCGGCCUUUCUUAGGCACCAUUCACACGCGGUGGCACUAGUGAGUCUUAAGUGUGCCAGCCGAUCCAUCCUAAGCCCAGGGAACCUUCACCUGGGUCUGAACCCGUGUUACCACCGCCGAAUCCGACAGUGGGACGUGCCUUCCACCCACCCAGGCAGCCCCCAGAGGCUCCCCUCCAUUACUCCAUUACUUUCACACACAAAAAAAAAUCCCUAAGGUGCCCGGUGACAUCUAACUUGAGAUAAACCACCUUCAGUGGUGUCUGGCACACUGGGACGCACUGUACUAGGGUCACGGGGGCUUUUCUGGACUCCCUCUGUAGCUGGGUGACCUGUGCUGGGCACUCCCUGACCUCGUCACCCCUGGGGAGGUCUGCCUGUCCCUGAACCUCAGACGCUGAAGUCGCAGAGUGGGAGCCGCCGGGCACUGAGGUCCGAGACCCAGCCACGCGCGUCACAUUUCCAUCCCUAUGACACUCAACUUAGGAGGAGGAAGGUUACGGUGGCUCCUGGGUGUGGAGCCUCUGG
This 3427-nucleotide long non-coding RNA is filed under the name Marmota monax (woodchuck). The record is from RNAcentral. Lineage: Eukaryota; Metazoa; Chordata; Mammalia; Rodentia; Sciuridae.